CAGAGCUUGUGCCAUCUGGACCUUGAU
Molecule: non-coding RNA, 27 nt
Filed under: Rattus norvegicus (Norway rat)
Lineage: Eukaryota; Metazoa; Chordata; Mammalia; Rodentia; Muridae
Source: RNAcentral